AUCCUGCUUUCUGAUCCCUGCUCCCAGUGAGCUUCUGAAGUGGACUCUUCCCGGUCCUCUGGGUGCACCUGCCUCCUGCCAUCUUCUCAGUUUUCAAGGAACUGUGUCUGCCACAAUUCAACCUCCUGUUGACCUUGGUUUCAAAUCUAUUAAUUCUUUUUUUUUUUUUUUUUGUAGAGACAGAGUCUCACUUUAUGGCCCUCGGUAGAGUGCCGUGGCCUCACACAGCUCACAGCAACCUCCAACUCCUGGGCUUAAGCGAUUCUCUUGCCUCAGCCUCCCGAGUAGCUGGGACUACAGGCGCCCGCCACAAUGCCCAGCUAUUUUUUGGUUGCAGUUUGGCCGGGGCCGGGUCUGAACCCGCCACCCUCGGCAUAUGGGGCCGGCGACCCACCAACUGAGCCACAGGCGCCGCCCAAAAUCUAUUAAUUCUUUUAAAAAUGUUUUGGUUGGUUUUUUUGAAGUAAUAAAUAUAUAGGCUAAAAAUGAAAAGAGAGCAUAAAAAAUAUACAAUGGAAUUGAGUCUCCCUCCCAUCGCAGACACUGAGCCCCCCGUCCCAGGGCUGGCGAGCGCGGUUUCUUGUGAACCCCUCCAGAACACGUCCGUGCUCCAUGUAAGCGUACACAUUCUGGUUUUAUUUCUUUGUCAAAGCACAUGGUGGCUUACAAUGCACAUCUAAAAAUAUAACUUGGAAAAUACAUACCUUAGAAGUUUUCCACAUGAGAACACAGCUGUUUCAUUUAUUUUAUACCCCUACAGCGUUUCACUGUGUAGAUAAAUCCUAGUCUGUUUAAUGGCUUCUCCACUGUUGUUUCCACUUAUUAGCUAUAAUAAUCAAUGUUGCAAAUGAGCAUCAACCUGUGUGUAUGUCUGUGCACAUGUGUGUAUAUAUGCUAAUAUUCCCACGUCCCUGUGAAUCUAUCUGUAUAGAUUUAUAAAAUAAAUACGUGACCAAGUAACUGCUGAGGCAAAGAAUACAUUCAUUUUGUUCAUUUUUAAUUUGUUUAAAAUUGAUCACUUUGGCAUGCAAAAAAGUAGUCACACCAACAGGGUAUAACGUUCUUCCAUUUUAUUUUUUGUGAGCCACCUAAGAAAACAAUCCUAUUGAAUUUUUUAAAUUACAUUUUUAAGACGUAAGCAGGCCUGACCGUCAGUGUAUGUGUCUAAGCCUUUCGUCGUCUUCUGUCUCCCAGCCCUCUGCCGGCCAUCCUCUCGGGUGUCUGCUUUUAAGAACACCAACUUCUAAGACUUGUUUACAUAUUUACAUAGCAGUUUUACGCCCCAGGUAAGGUACCUGUUUUCCCAGUGCGGCUUCACGUUAUUUCUUUUUCUGGAGAAGUGUCCAAUUGUUUAAGGAUUGAAAUGUUUUAAUGUUUUCCUUAACGGCUUCUGACUUCUAUGCCUUACUUAGGAAAUGUCUCAACUGCAAGGUACAUUUUUUUAUAUCCUAAUUUUCUUCCAGUUUGUGAUUGCAUUUUUUUACUUCUAUUUUGUAAUCCCACUGAAAUUAUUUGAGUGUUAGAAUAAGCAUCAAUUUUUCUCUUCACCUCUCUGGAGUCAGUUGUGCUGGCAGUGAGAGCUGCAUUUUGCAUUUGAAAGCUACUGAAGAUGUAAUAAAAUAUGGGGAGUGUCCAUGGCACUAAAUACCUGGACAGCAGAACCUCUGUAAGUGACCGCUCAGGGCACUGCAGCAAACUGGCCAGCAUUCGGAGGUGGUCAUCGCAAGGAACAAGGCCACAUGUAUGUACAUGUGGUGCGUGUCGGAUCUAUGAAAAUUAGGUCAGCUUUAGGAGGUGGUCAGCUAUGGAGGCUCUGUGUAUUAAGCAGUCCCUUGACACGCAGGCAUCGCUGACACAGUCAAAAUUCCUACUCUUCCUGAGCAGUUACCGUGCUGAGCAAACUCUCCAGAAGCUUUACUCGUUUUAAACCCACAAGCCUGUAAGGUGUGAACUAUUGUCUCUAUUUUAUACGUAAGAGAAAGGACUGUCUUGAGGUCAUACGUCUUAAAAAUGGCAGACCUAGGGCCUGAUGUGAGUCUGUGUGUCUUCAACACUAAGGUUUUCUAAUUUCCAUUCCUGCCGGGAAAGGAGGAGAGAUGUGCAGAUUGAUGCGUGAACAGAUGGAGCAACUUCUUUCCAGUCCACUAGCUGGAAUUUAUAGUCCUAAAGCUUCAGUCUUUACAUUGAAUAUUUUGUUGAAUUGGAUUUAAAACCCCUUCAUCAUCCACUGAGCCCGAUGAGGGAACUCUUCCAAAUCAUGCAGAAGCCUGGAGUACGUGUGCGCAGCAGGAUGAGGGCUCUGGCCCUGUCGCUCAUCACUCAAACGUCCCUUCCUAUUGGGCAUUCCCUUUUCGGAGAGGUCAACCUGCUAGACACAGUGAUUCUGAAGCCCCUUCAAGUUCUGUGAUUCUCUUCUGCAUCUGUGUCCUGAGGCCACGAUUUCUACACUAAAAUUAAGAGGCAACUUUCUGAUGAGUCCAAGUUUCUAAUGAAGAAAACGGAAAAUGAUACAUGUUAAUAUUUGACAUUGGUAUGGCCUAUGGCUGGGCCCCUUCCCAGGAAUUUCUGUUGACUUGAGUUGCUUUCCCAGACUAUUGUGAUGCCUUAUGCUCUGGCUUGUG
Nycticebus coucang (slow loris) is the source of this 2621-nucleotide long non-coding RNA. RefSeq lists it as uncharacterized. The record is from RefSeq and is a predicted model, not a curated record. The transcript is spliced from 2 exons. Lineage: Eukaryota; Metazoa; Chordata; Mammalia; Primates; Lorisidae.